GAUGAACGCUGACAGAAUGCUUAACACAUGCAAGUCUUUGGUGAAGCUGUGCUUGCCCCGCCUAGCCAAGGCGGACGGGUGAGUAACGCGUAAGGAACUUGCCCUGCAGUCAGGGAUAACAGACGGAAACGACUGAUAAGACCUGGUAAAGUCAGGCGGACUCAUGUCCAGCCUGAUGAAAAGAGAUGCUGCAGGAGAGCCUUGCGUCCUAUUAGCUUGUUGGUGGGGUAACGGCCCACCAAGGCAAUGAUAGGUAGCCGGCCUGAGAGGGUGGACGGCCACAAGGGGACUGAGAUACGGCCCUUACUCCUACGGGAGGCAGCAGUGGGGAAUAUUGGACAAUGGGGGCAACCCUGAUCCAGCAAUUCUGUGUGCACGAUGAAGGUUUUCGGAUUGUAAAGUGCUUUCAGCAGGGAAGAAAAAAAUGACGGUACCUGCAGAAGAAGCGACGGCUAAAUACGUG
Molecule: ribosomal RNA, 463 nt
Filed under: uncultured bacterium
Lineage: Bacteria
Description: partial 16S ribosomal RNA
Rfam family: Bacterial small subunit ribosomal RNA
Source: RNAcentral